GGCCCGUCGUCUAGCCUGGUUAGGACGCCGCCCUUACAAGAGGCGGAGGCCCGGGGUUCAAGUCCCCGCGGGCCCAC
Molecule: transfer RNA, 77 nt
Filed under: Thermogladius calderae 1633
Lineage: Archaea; Thermoproteati; Thermoproteota; Thermoprotei; Desulfurococcales; Desulfurococcaceae
Description: tRNA-Val
Rfam family: tRNA
About the family: Transfer RNA (tRNA) molecules are approximately 80 nucleotides in length.
Source: RNAcentral